Molecule: ribosomal RNA, 292 nt
Filed under: uncultured bacterium
Lineage: Bacteria
Description: partial 16S ribosomal RNA
Rfam family: Bacterial small subunit ribosomal RNA
Source: RNAcentral
GUGCCAGCCGCCGCGGUAAUACAGAGGGUGCGAGCGUUAAUCGGAAUGACUGGGCGUAAAGGGCGCGUAGGUGGAUGUGUGUGUUGGAUGUGAAAGCCCCGGGCUUAACCUGGGAAUUGCAUACAAAACUGCACAUCUAGAGUAGAGCAGAGGUAAGUGGAAUUUCCGGAGUAGCGGUGAAAUGCGUAGAUACCGGAAGGAACACCAGUGGCGAAGGCGACUUACUGGGCUCAAACUGACACUGAGGCGCGAAAGCGUGGGGAGCAAACAGGAUUAGAUACCCGUGUAGUCC